GACGAACGCUGGCGGCGUGCUUAACACAUGCAAGUCGAACGGAAAGGCCCUGCUUUUGUGGGGUGCUCGAGUGGCGACCGGGUGAGUAACACGUGAGUAACCUGCCCUUGACUUUGGGAUAACUUCAGGAAACUGGGGCUAAUACCGGAUAGGAGCUCCCGCUGCAUGGUGGGGGUUGGAAAGUUUCGGCGGUUGGGGAUGGACUCGCGGCUUAUCAGCUUGUUGGUGGGGUAGUGGCUUACCAAGGCUUUGGCGGGUAGCCGGCCUGGGAGGGUGACCGGCAUCAUGGGGACUGGGAGAGGGCCAAGACUCCUACGGGAGGCAGCGGUGGGAAAGAUUACACAAUGGGCGGAGGCCUAAUGCAGCAACGCCGCGUGCGGGAUGGCGGCCUACGGGUUAUAGACCGCAUUCGCCUGUGACGAAGCGUGAGUGACGGUAAUGGGUAAAGAAGCACCGGCUAACUACGUU
RNAcentral lists this ribosomal RNA (468 nucleotides) under uncultured bacterium. Its description in RNAcentral is "partial 16S ribosomal RNA". It matches the Rfam family "Bacterial small subunit ribosomal RNA", at positions 28 to 507 of the family's 1533-position model. The record is from RNAcentral.